Long non-coding RNA from Gopherus evgoodei (Goodes thornscrub tortoise), 2658 nucleotides. RefSeq lists it as uncharacterized. The record is from RefSeq and is a predicted model, not a curated record. The transcript is spliced from 7 exons. NCBI's taxonomy places the organism in Eukaryota, Metazoa, Chordata, Testudines, Testudinidae.
CAGCAGCCCCUGGUGGACGAAAAAAAAGGACUGUUUGGGCCCUGAAUUCUGGUCUGCAGAGCAGCUCAGAAUUCUCCUAGGAGCAAUUUACUUGUUAUGCUCUGAGUACAUUUCCCAGACCUGCAGAUGAGCUCUGUGAAAGCUCAAAAGCUUGACUCUCUCACCAACAGACGUUGGUUCAAUAGAUAUUAGCUCACUGACUGUGUCUCCCUAAUAUCCUGGGAAAAACAAGGCUCCAACACUACAUAUUACCUUAUAUGGCAUUUCUCUCUGACGAACGUAAUGACUCGUGAGGCUCCCUCCUACCUGCCACGCACAUAAAAAGUGACUCCCCAUGGACCAUGGAACGCCACAAAGGAUGUCGUUAUAAAACCUGAUGCACCAAGCACCUUGUUUUUGGAGAAACAUGCAGAUUACAUAGCUUCUUAUGGUGCAAAGAAAGAUGAUUAUGAGUACUGUAUGUCGGAAUAUUUGAGGAUGAGUGGUGUCUACUGGGGACUGACUGUAAUGGAUCUCAUGAGACAGCUGCAACGAAUGACCAAAGAAGAAAUUCUAGCGUUCAUCAAAUCAUGUCAACAUGAGAGCAGUGGAAUAAGUGCCAGUAUAGGUCACGAUCUCACCUUUUAUAUACCCUUAGUGCUGUCCAGAUUCUUACCUUAUGUUGUUGAUGUCAUAAAAUUGUUGACUACGUAAAAAGCCUGCAAAAAGAAGAUGGAUCAUUUGCCGGAGACAAAUGGGGGAACGCCACAAAAGGAUGUCGUUAUAAAACCUGAUGCACCAAGCACCUUGUUUUUGGAGAAACAUGCAGAUUACAUAGCUUCUUAUGGUGCAAAGAAAGACGAUUAUGAGUGCUGUAUGUCAGAAUAUUUGAGGAUGAGUGGUGUCUACUGGGGACUGACUAUAAUGGAUCUCAUGAGACAGCUGCAACGAAUGACCAAAGAAGAAAUCUAGCAUUCAUGAAAUCAUGUCAACAUGAGAGCGGUGGAAUAAGUGCCAGUAUAGGUCACGAUCUCACCUUUUAUAUACCCUUAGUGCUGUCCAGAUUCUUACCUUAUGUUGUUGAUGUCAUAAAAUUGUUGACUACGUAAAAAGCCUGCAAAAAGAAGAUGGAUCAUUUGCCGGAGACAAAUGGGGUAACAUAUCUUCGAAAUCGCAUGGAUAGGUUGACACAUUUCAUGUAAUAAAGCAGUUAAGAAGAAGUCGCUCUGCAUGUUUUUUUCACUAUGUAUUAUGCAUGAACUGCAUUUAUGUCCCUCACUGUAAAAAGGAGCCAUUGUGUAACAGCCAGUCACGUCAUUGCUUUUCUAGAUGACUCAACUUAGAGAAAAAUUGAUAUAAAUAACAAACUGAUCAACCUUCAUAGAAGCUUCUGAAAGCUGAAAACUUGUUAGAGCUUGUGAUGGGGAAGUGCCUUCUCAUUUCAGUGUAAUUUGUACUAGAUAUUAAUCUUUGAGUUUAAUAUCUAGUGAUUUAUAAGUUGUAUAUAUUUAUUGCUUAUAAAAGGAACUACCUCUCUGCAUAGUAAUGACACAAAUCUGUGUCUGCAUUCACAGCUUCUAAAACUACUGAUCUCGUUUGAUUUUUAUUUUUAAAGGGUGGGUAUGUUCAUCUUUUCUAUUGACAUUUUAAAGUAUUUUUUAUAUGAAAUAUUAAAAUAUUUCAGUAUUGUAUCCUGUUGAAUAUCAGUUACAACAGAACCAUUGUUUCAUUUUUCAAUUAAUAAAAUGAACUGAUCGAGAUAUUUCAACAUAUGUAAAUACAUAAACAUCAAUUUGAAGUUGACAAGCUAUGUGUUGGUAUUAAAAUAGUCAUCUGUAUUCAGCGCUAACUUUUACAUUUCAGCCAAUUUGUCAUAAUAUAGUAAUAACAUGCACAGGCAGGGAUAUGACCAAUACUAACAAGAAUGUAAAUUUUCAGACUGGAUUACUGAAAUACACUAUAAAUGGGGCUACCAUUGAGGAAAAUUCAGGAGCAAAAGCUAGUACAGAAUGCGGUUACCUGCUUGAUUGGUGAUAUGAGCUACAACAAGGAUAUUAAACCAUUUCUGAAAAACUGCACUCAUUCCCUAUUUGCAUCUGGGGUACAGUUUAAAGUGUUGACUUGAGUUAUAAUUACUAUGGUCUAAUCAACACUGGGAAAAGAAUUACUGGUAUAGCACGCACACAGACACACACACCCCCAUGUAUGCAUAGUUGCUGGUAUAACUAUUGAUUCCAUUAGCAAAAUAACAAUUUUUUUUAAAGAAUAUAACUAUCUACACUAAGGCUUUUUUGUCACUAUAGAAAUGUCAUAAAAAUCACUCCUCUAACUGAUGAAACUAAUACUUGCAAAAAUUUCUAGUGUAGACCUUGCCUGAGACACCUUCUUUCUUGAUCUGUGCCUUCAUACCAGCUCAAGACCUUGAGCAUUGUGGAGACUGGUGUUGAUGUAUUCUUGAGGGUCCACUGCUCUUUAACUUGUUUUGUCCAAAGCUGUGAGUCUUUGUGGCCUUCAGAUUAUGAUACUGAAGAGCUGAGAGUGGGCAAUGUGGGUAAUUAACUGGUGAAUGAAUCAGUGUUGACAUUUUUCAACUAGUUCUUUCUAUUCAGUGCACAUACUGUGCACUGGGUGCCUUUUAUAAACUGAAAAAUAAAUAGCAUAUUUACAAAUUUAUCUCAA